This 302-nucleotide long non-coding RNA is filed under the name Fukomys damarensis (Damara mole-rat). Its description in RNAcentral is "lncRNA (ENSFDAG00000027535.1)". The record is from RNAcentral. Lineage: Eukaryota; Metazoa; Chordata; Mammalia; Rodentia; Bathyergidae.
CAGAAUCCCUGCCAGCCAGAAGAGCUGAGAAACUGAGCUCCGCCCAUAGCUGGGUGCGUUCUUUGUGACCUCUGCUUACCUGUUAGUAAAAUAGAUGCACAUGCAAGGCGCACCUGCUGCCCAGGCCGUGCAUCUCUUCCAGGGUGACAGCCUGGUAAGAAAGCAGACUUACGCACACAGGAUGGAAGGCAGCAGCGAAAAGCCCAGUGUGUUCUGCGUGCUACCUAACAUAGACCCCGUGUGAAGUCCCUUCCUCUGUCCUGUGCCUGUUCCGUCCUCACCUUCUGGCAUUAAAUCCCGCA